RNAcentral lists this ribosomal RNA (253 nucleotides) under uncultured bacterium. RNAcentral describes it as "partial 16S ribosomal RNA". It matches the Rfam family "Bacterial small subunit ribosomal RNA", at positions 524 to 776 of the family's 1533-position model. The record is from RNAcentral.
UACGUAGGGGGCAAGCGUUGUCCGGAUUUAUUGGGCGUAAAGAGCGUGUAGGCGGCCCGGUAAGUCCGCUGUGAAAGUCGGGGGCUCAACCCUCGAAUGCCGGUGGAUACUGUCGGGCUAGAGUGCGGGAGAGGCGAGUGGAAUUCCUGGUGUAGCGGUGAAAUGCGCAGAGAUCCGGAAGAACACCAGUGGCGAAGGCGGCCCGCUGGGCAGUGGCUGACGCUGAGGCGCGACAGCGUGGGGAGCAAACAGG